CCUACGGGAGGCAGCAGUGAGGAAUAUUGGUCAAUGGGCGCGAGCCUGAACCAGCCAAGUCGCGUGAGGGAGGACGGCCCUACGGGUUGUAAACCUCUUUUGCCGGGGAGCAACGGGCGCCACGUGUGGCGUCACUGAGAGUACCCGGAGAAAAAGCAUCGGCAAACUCCGUGCCAGCAGCCGCGGUAAUACGUAGGAUGCGAGCGUUAUCCGACUUUAUUGGGUUAAAGGGGUGCGUAGGCGGAUCGUUAAGUCAGUGGUCAAAUUGAGGGGCUCAACCCCUUCCCGCCAUUGAAACUGGCGUUCUUGAGUGGAAGAGAGGUAUGCGGAAUGCGUGGUGUAGCGGUGAAAUGCAUAGAUAUCACGCAGAACCCCGGUUGCGAAGGCAGCAUGCCGGCUUCCGACUGACGCUGAAGCACGAAAGCGUGGGGAUCGAACAGGAUUAGAUACCCGAGUAGUC
Molecule: ribosomal RNA, 460 nt
Filed under: uncultured bacterium
Lineage: Bacteria
Description: partial 16S ribosomal RNA
Rfam family: Bacterial small subunit ribosomal RNA
Source: RNAcentral